RNAcentral lists this ribosomal RNA (253 nucleotides) under uncultured bacterium. RNAcentral's name for it is "partial 16S ribosomal RNA". It matches the Rfam family "Bacterial small subunit ribosomal RNA", at positions 524 to 776 of the family's 1533-position model. The record is from RNAcentral.
UACGUAGGGGGCAAGCGUUAUCCGGAUUUACUGGGUGUAAAGGGAGCGUAGACGGUGAAGCAAGUCUGGAGUGAAAUGCGGGGGCUCAACCCCUGAACUGCUUUGGAAACUGUUCCACUGGAGUGCAGGAGAGGUAAGCGGAAUUCCUAGUGUAGCGGUGAAAUGCGUAGAUAUUAGGAGGAACACCGGUGGCGAAGGCGGCUUACUGGACUGUAACUGACGUUGAGGCUCGAAAGCGUGGGGAGCAAACAGG